Molecule: ribosomal RNA, 783 nt
Filed under: uncultured bacterium
Lineage: Bacteria
Description: bacterial SSU rRNA
Rfam family: Bacterial small subunit ribosomal RNA
Source: RNAcentral
GCCCUUAGAGUUUGAUCCUGGCUCAGGAUGAACGCUGACAGAAUGCUUAACACAUGCAAGUCGAUUCUAUUUACCUUCGGGUAUUGAGGAUGGCGGACGGGUGAGUAACGCGUAAGGAACUUGCCUCUUGGACUGGGACAACUGUUGGAAACGACAGCUAAUACCGGAUAUUAUGAGAUUCUCGCAUGAAAAACUUAUGAAAGCUAUAUGCGCCAAGAGAGAGCCUUGCGUUCCAUUAGCUAGUUGGUGGGGUAAUGGCCCACCAAGGCGACGAUGGAUAGCCGGCCUGAGAGGGUGAACGGCCACAAGGGGACUGAGACACGGCCCUUACUCCUACGGGAGGCAGCAGUGGGGAAUAUUGGACAAUGGGCCACAAGCCUGAUCCAGCAAUUCUGUGUGCACGAUGAAGGUCUUCGGAUUGUAAAGUGCUUUCAGUUGGGAAGAAGAAAGUGACGGUACCAACAGAAGGAGCGACGGCUAAAUACGUGCCAGCAGCCGCGGUAAUACGUAUGUCGCAAGCGUUAUCCGGAUUUAUUGGGCGUAAAGCGCGUCUAGGCGGAAAAAUAAGUCUGAUGUUAAAAUGCGGGGCUCAACUCCGUAUUGCGUUGGAAACUGUUUUUCUAGAGUACUGGAGAGGUGGGCGGAACUACAAGUGUAGAGGUGAAAUUCGUAGAUAUUUGUAGGAAUGCCGAUGGAGAAGUCAGCUCACUGGACAGAUACUGACGCUGAAGCGCGAAAGCGUGGGGAGAAAACAGGAUUAGAUACCCUGGUAGUCCACGCCGU